CCUACGGGUGGCAGCAGUAGGGAAUCUUCCACAAUGGACGAAAGUCUGAUGGAGCAACGCCGCGUGAGUGAAGACGGGUUUCGGAUCGUAAACCUCUGUUGGUAGUGAAGAAAGUUAGAGGUAGUAACUAGCCUUUAUUUGACGGUAAUUACUUAGAAAGUCACGGCUAACUACGUGCCAGAAGCCGCGGUAAUAUGUAGGUGGCAAGCGUUGUCCGGAUUUGUUGGGCGUAAAGCGAGUGCAAGCGGUGCAAUAAGUCUGAUGGGAAAGCCUUCGGCUCAACCGGUGAAUUGCAUAAGAAACUGUUGAACUUGAGUGCAGAAGAGGAGAGUGGAACUCCAUGUGUAGCGGUGGAAUGCGUAGAUAUAAGGAAGAACACCAGUGGCGAAGGCGGCCCUCUGGUCUGCAACUGACGCUGAGGCUCGAAAGCAUGGGUAGCGAACAGGAUUAGAUACCCUUGUAGUC
Molecule: ribosomal RNA, 465 nt
Filed under: uncultured bacterium
Lineage: Bacteria
Description: partial 16S ribosomal RNA
Rfam family: Bacterial small subunit ribosomal RNA
Source: RNAcentral